CGGUCUGGCGGCGAGUGGCGAACGGGUGGAUAAUGCAUCGGAACGUACCUUUCAGUGGGGGAUAACGUAGCGAAAGUUACGCUAAUACCGCAUAUUCUGUGAGCAGGAAAGCAGGGGAUCGCAAGACCUUGCGCUGAUGGAGCGGCCGAUGUCAGAUUAGCUAGUUGGUGGGGUAAAGGCUCACCAAGGCGACGAUCUGUAGCGGGUCUUAGAGGAUGAUCCGCCACACUGGAACUGAGACACGGUCCAGACUCCUACGGGAGGCAGCAGUGGGGAAUUUUGGACAAUGGGCGCAAGCCUGAUCCAGCCAUGCCCCGUGAGUGAAGAAGGCCUUCGGGUUGUAAAGCUCUUUCGGCCGGGAAAAAAUCGCUUGGGUUAAUACCCUGAGUGGAUGAUGGUACCGGAAUAAGAAGCACCGGCUAACUACGUGCCAGCAGCCGCGGUAAUACGUAGGGUGCGAGCGUUAAUCGGAAUUACUGGGCGUAAAGCGUGCGCAGGCGGUUUUGUAAGACAGGCGUGAAAUCCCCGGGCUCAACCUGGGAACUGCGUUUGUGACUGCAAGGCUAGAGUAUGGCAGAGGGGGGUGGAAUUCCACGUGUAGCAGUGAAAUGCGUAGAGAUGUGGAGGAACACCAAUGGCGAAGGCAGCCCCCUGGGCCAAUACUGACGCUCAUGCACGAAAGCGUGGGGAGCAAACAGGAUUAGAUACCCUGGUAGUCCCCCUAAACGAUGUCAACUAGGUGUUGGGUGGGUAAAACCAUUUGGUACCGUAGCUAACGCGUGAAGUUGACCGCCUGGGGAGUACGGCCGCAAGGUUAAAACUCAAAGGAAUUGACGGGGACCCGCACAAGCGGUGGAUGAUGUGGAUUAAUUCGAUGCAACGCGAAAAACCUUACCUACCCUUGACAUGCCAGGAACUUGCCAGAGAUGGCUUGGUGCCCGAAAGGGAGCCUGGACACAGGUGCUGCAUGGCUGUCGUCAGCUCGUGUCGUGAGAUGUUGGGUUAAGUCCCGCAACGAGCGCAACCCUUGUCGUUAAUUGCCAUCAUUUAGUUGGGCACUUUAACGAGACUGCCGGUGACAAACCGGAGGAAGGUGGGGAUGACGUCAAGUCCUCAUGGCCCUUAUGGGUAGGGCUUCACACGUCAUACAAUGGUCGGUACAAAGGGUUGCCAAGCCGCGAGGCGGAGCCAAUCCCAGAAAGCCGAUCGUAGUCCGGAUCGCAGGCUGCAACUCGCCUGCGUGAAGUCGGAAUCGCUAGUAAUCGUGGAUCAGCAUGUCACGGUGAAUACGUUCCCGGGUCUUGUACACACCGCCCGUCACACCAUGGGAGCGGGUUCCGCCAGAAGUAGGUAGCCUAACCGCAAGGAGGGCGCUUACCACGGCGGGGUCC
This 1391-nucleotide ribosomal RNA is filed under the name metagenome. Its description in RNAcentral is "bacterial SSU rRNA". It matches the Rfam family "Bacterial small subunit ribosomal RNA". The record is from RNAcentral.